This 288-nucleotide ribosomal RNA is filed under the name uncultured Pseudomonas sp. RNAcentral describes it as "partial 16S ribosomal RNA". It matches the Rfam family "Bacterial small subunit ribosomal RNA", at positions 1093 to 1382 of the family's 1533-position model. Lineage: Bacteria; Pseudomonadati; Pseudomonadota; Gammaproteobacteria; Pseudomonadales; Pseudomonadaceae. The record is from RNAcentral.
CGAGCGACACCUUCUCUUAGUUACAGCACGUUAUGGUGGGCACUCGUAAGAGACUGCCGGUGACAAACCGGAGGAAGGGUGGGGAUGACGUCAAGUCAUCAUGGCCCUUACGGCCUGGGCUACACACGUGCUACAAUGGUCGGUACAAAGGGUUGCCAAGCCGCGAGGUGGAGCUAAUCCCAUAAAACCGAUCGUAGUCCGGAUCGCAGUCUGCAACUCGACUGCGUGAAGUCGGAAUCGCUAGUAAUCGUGAAUCAGAAUGUCACGGUGAAUACGUUCCCGGGCCUU